UGGGGAAUCUUGCGCAAUGGGCGAAAGCCUGACGCAGCGACGCCGCGUGCGGGAAGAAGGCCUUCGGGUUGUAAACCGCUUUCAGGAGGGACGAAGCCACUCGGGUUAAUAGCCCAGAGGGUGACGGUACCUCCAGAAGAAGCCCCGGCUAACUACGUGCCAGCAGCCGCGGUAAUACGUAGGGGGCAAGCGUUGUCCGGAUUUAUUGGGCGUAAAGCGCGUGUAGGCGGCCAGGUAAGUCGGCUGUGAAAACUCGAGGCUCAACCUCGAGAUGUCGGCCGAAACUAUCUGGCUAGAGUCCGGAAGAGGAGAAUGGAAUUCCCGGUGUAGCGGUGAAAUGCGCAGAUAUCGGGAAGAACACCCGUGGCGAAGGCGGUUCUCUGGGACGGUACUGACGCUGAGACGCGAAAGCGUGGGGAGCGAACAGG
RNAcentral lists this ribosomal RNA (428 nucleotides) under Bacillota bacterium. RNAcentral's name for it is "Firmicutes bacterium partial 16S ribosomal RNA". It matches the Rfam family "Bacterial small subunit ribosomal RNA", at positions 355 to 776 of the family's 1533-position model. Lineage: Bacteria; Bacillati; Bacillota. The record is from RNAcentral.